Molecule: ribosomal RNA, 510 nt
Filed under: uncultured fungus
Lineage: Eukaryota; Fungi
Description: eukaryotic LSU rRNA
Rfam family: 5.8S ribosomal RNA (bases 132-283)
Source: RNAcentral
CAUUAACAAAUCCGAUAAUGGGUUGUGGGGUUAUACCUAUAGUCCAAUAUUUAACCGCUAGUUUCCGUCAUUGGGACUAGUUGGAUAUAUAUGCGUGAAUGUAGACAGUGUGUGACCGAAAAUUUAUUGACAACUUUUAACAAUGGAUCUCUAGGCUCUUGCAGCGAUGAAGAACGCAGCAAAAUGCGAAACGUGAUGCGAUUUGCAUGAAUCUGUGAGUCAUCUAAUCUUUGAACGCGAAUGGCACUGUUACGCAAGUGACAGUAUGUCUGUUUGAGAAUCGCAAAACAAGAUCAACUCUAGUUGAGAGUUGGGAUUGGUCUUAUGCAUAGGUAUGUAUUUGACUUUAAUUAAUCGAGCUGAUGAGCUUCCCAGUGCGGCUCAAUGUGUGCUAGCGAGACAGUCGUCCCGAUCUCACAUUAAUGUCGCAUUGCAGAGUUCUGUCCACAGCUCGCUAAAUUUAUCACCUCAUACGAUCUCAAAUCAGGCAAGAUUACCCGCUGAACUUAA